CAGGUGCAUUCAAUGGAGUGAGGAGCCAUCCCUUCCCAGACCUCAUUUAAGGGUUAGUAGUGGAAGCAAGAGUAUCUUGCUGAAGAUUCCUGAGGAUGUGGGGCCUUCUGAAGGCUCAAGAAACCAGUUGCAUGGGCAGCCCUCCUUUGGGCUCUCUUCUGUUCACCCCUACCUUUUGUUAUGCUGGGGCCAAUACAGAACUAUGCCAGGAAGAGCCACAUCACAAGGAAUGGCUGAUGCCUUCAGUACGUCCUUCUGGGAUCUACCUCACAGGAACAACACAGAGCAUUAAACAGGAGAAAGCAUUGCUUCCUGAGCAGCACC
Non-coding RNA from Coturnix japonica (Japanese quail), 324 nucleotides. The record is from RefSeq and is a predicted model, not a curated record. NCBI's taxonomy places the organism in Eukaryota, Metazoa, Chordata, Aves, Galliformes, Phasianidae.